RNAcentral lists this long non-coding RNA (213 nucleotides) under Cyanistes caeruleus (blue tit). Its description in RNAcentral is "lncRNA (ENSCCEG00000010163.1)". Lineage: Eukaryota; Metazoa; Chordata; Aves; Passeriformes; Paridae. The record is from RNAcentral.
GCAGAAUGAAUCAACUUUGAUUUAAGAAAAAUCAAGAUCAGAAACAAAUCCAAAAGUAAACCUCCUCUCCAGUUUGGGCUGAUAAGCUCCUACCCAAGAUGGCACACAAUUUACCUGGAAACACCUAGAAGAACUACAAAAUGGAGUUGUGUCAGAGAUUAUGGACAGGUUGCAUCGGCAUUUUGCUGUAUUAACAGUUUUCUCCCUCCAAGC